This 467-nucleotide ribosomal RNA is filed under the name uncultured bacterium. RNAcentral's name for it is "partial 16S ribosomal RNA". It matches the Rfam family "Bacterial small subunit ribosomal RNA", at positions 28 to 507 of the family's 1533-position model. The record is from RNAcentral.
GACGAACGCUGGCGGCGUGCUUAACACAUGCAAGUCGAACGGAAAGGCCCUGCUUUUGUGGGGUGCUCGAGUGGCGAACGGGUGAGUAACACGUGAGUAACCUGCCCUUGACUUUGGGAUAACUUCAGGAAACUGGGGCUAAUACCGGAUAGGAGCUCCUGCUGCAUGGUGGGGGUUGGAAAGUUUCGGCGGUUGGGGAUGGACUCGCGGCUUAUCAGCUUGUUGGUGGGGUAGUGGCUUACCAAGGCUUUGACGGGUAGCCGGCCUGAGAGGGUGACCGGCCACAUUGGGACUGAGAUACGGCCCAGACUCCUACGGGAGGCAGCAGGGGGAAUAUUGCACAAUGGGCGGAAGCCUGAUGCAGCAACGCCGCGUGCGGGAUGACGGCCUUCGGGUUGUAAACCGCUUUCGCCUGUGACGAAGCGUGAGUGACGGUAAUGGGUAAAGAAGCACCGGCUAACUACGUG